AGUUGUUAUCCGGAAACCGAUAUAAUGCAAAAUCUAUCUAUUUCUACUGCCAUUCAUUCAAGUUAACUUCUUUAAUCAACUACAUAUAUUUCUGGUUGAGUUUUCGGCAUUUGAAGGACAUUAUCUCUGAUCGGGUUUUUUUGACAUUUGAAGGACAUUUGAGAACAUUAAUGGCCUGAUAUCCUCACAUUACUUCUUGCGAUAAAACGACCGAUGAACAACCGAGAUACAAACAUAGUCGAUUAUGUCAACAUGCUUCAGUAUGCAGUGAAAAAGCUAAAUAUUUUUGUAAAGUUGGACAAUCAUCUAGUAGUGUCGAAGGAUCUUUGUUACAUGGUCAUGGAUCUCGGUCUCAUGGCGAUGCAUCUGCUGAUGUCGUAUCUACUCCUGCUGCACAUGCUCUCGUCAAACCUGCUCCUAACAAACAUGAUCUUGCCGCACCUCCAUGAAGUACAAUAUAUAGUUACAUCCAAUGGUUUUUAUAGAGUUUUCCAUCCUUAUCUGACCUCGGUGCCAACGGGAGAUCCCCCUAAUGCUAGCUUAUCAAGAGAUAUUAGAGGAUGAACAAGAAAUGUUGGACUAUGUCGUAGAUGUCAUGUAGAAAUUCCAUCUGAUUGUCACUAUACUCAAGGGUUCCAUUUCUAGAUGAGAGGCAUAAGAAGGCACCCAUGUGUGGGACUCGAUACAUAAAGUAUUAACACAUGCAUGCAUGAGGUGCUUUUUAGGAUAUGAGGCUAAUGAUGAUCAUGGGUGUGAAAUUUAAUGAUUAGUUAGACUCUUAUAUAAACCGGUUGCAUUUUUUGAUAAUAUUUUGAGUUGUAUUUUAUGACAUUUCUCUUGGGAAUUUAGUAUGGAUAUCUUUUUAUAAAUAUGCGACUUAUGUAUGACUAAACAUUUUAUAUAUGAUAUUUUGUUUU
Molecule: long non-coding RNA, 917 nt
Organism: Lathyrus oleraceus (garden pea)
Lineage: Eukaryota; Viridiplantae; Streptophyta; Magnoliopsida; Fabales; Fabaceae
Exons: 2
Source: RefSeq, a predicted model, not a curated record